This 463-nucleotide ribosomal RNA is filed under the name uncultured bacterium. RNAcentral describes it as "bacterial SSU rRNA". It matches the Rfam family "Bacterial small subunit ribosomal RNA", at positions 327 to 804 of the family's 1533-position model. The record is from RNAcentral.
GCUGUGGAACUCCUACUGGAGGCAGCAGCGGGGAAUAUUGGACAAUGGGGGCAACCCUGAUCCAGCAAUUCUGUGUGCACGAUGAGGGUCUUCGGAUUGUAAAGUGCUUUCAGCAGGGAAGAAAAAAAUGACGGUACCUGCAGAAGAAGCGACGGCUAAAUACGUGCCAGCAGCCGCGGUAAUACGUAUGUCGCGAGCGUUAUCCGGAAUUAUUGGGCAUAAAGGGCAUCUAGGCGGCCGGAUAAGUCUGGGGUGAAAACUUGCGGCUCAACCGCAAGCCUGCCCUGGAAACUAUGCGGCUAGAGUACUGGAGAGGUGGACGGAACUGCACGAGUAGAGGUGAAAUUCGUAGAUAUGUGCAGGAAUGCCGAUGAUGAAGAUAGUUCACUGGACGGUAACUGACGCUGAAGUGCGAAAGCUAGGGGAGCAAACAGGAUUAGAAACCCGGGUAGUCCUACCACGU